UACCAUGUCUAUGUAGAGACUGUACCAAUAGAAAUGUGAUUCCAAUUGCCGAUUUACGUCAACACAUUUUCAUGAAUGGUUGGUUGACACAUUAUGUUAUAUGGACGAAACAUGGUGAGCGAACUUACGAUUCAAAACCAAACAUAGAAAAUAUAGUUGAAGAUGAACCAAACAAUGAAAUGCGUAAUUUGGUUUGCGUGGCGAUGGG
Molecule: long non-coding RNA, 208 nt
Filed under: Zostera marina
Lineage: Eukaryota; Viridiplantae; Streptophyta; Magnoliopsida; Alismatales; Zosteraceae
Description: long non-coding RNA (ZMAR_LNC000681)
Source: RNAcentral